RNAcentral lists this unclassified non-coding RNA (234 nucleotides) under plant metagenome. RNAcentral describes it as "partial contains small subunit ribosomal RNA, internal transcribed spacer 1, and 5.8S ribosomal RNA". The record is from RNAcentral.
UUUCCGUAGGUGAACCUGCGGAAGGAUCAUUACUGAGUGAGGGCCCUCUGGGUCCAACCUCCCACCCGUGUUUAUUGUACCUUGUUGCUUCGGUGAGCCCGCCUCACGGCCGCCGAGGGGCAUCUGCCCCCGGGCCCGCGCUCGCCGAAGGCACCCUUGAACUCUGUCUGAAGUUUGCAGUCUGAGCGAAAACUAAAUAAGUUAAAACUUUCAACAACGGAUCUCUUGGUUCCG